RNAcentral lists this ribosomal RNA (159 nucleotides) under Leotiaceae sp. RNAcentral's name for it is "partial large subunit ribosomal RNA". It matches the Rfam family "Eukaryotic large subunit ribosomal RNA", at positions 99 to 261 of the family's 3401-position model. The record is from RNAcentral. Lineage: Eukaryota; Fungi; Ascomycota; Leotiomycetes; Leotiales; Leotiaceae.
CGGCAACAGCUCAAAUUUGAAAUCUGGCGUAUGCUCGAAUUGUAAUUUGUAGAGGAUGUUUCGAAUGCGGUCCAGUUUAAGUUCCUUGGAACAGGACGUCAUAGAGGGUGAGAAUCCCGUAUGUGACUGGGUGCCAAUUUCAUGUGAAACUCCUUCGAC